GCAGACAAGAGACUUGACAGCUGGUUUUCUGUACUGACCGUUGGAAGUUUUCUGAUCAUAGUGCCAAUUUCCUUGGCUAACCUAAUAUCGGCUUCUGCAAUUGUAGACGUUAUGAAAAUCUACGACGAAUCUAGGCGCAUAGACAUUGCUCUUAGGUUUGGCUACGCAUGCAAUUUAGAACAUCCAGUUUUUAAGUUUAUUCAAUAUAUUAUAAAUCGGAAAUGGUGGUUGAUGCUCCGGGAUGAUGUAAAAUAUAUUGCAAUGGACACUGGAAAAAACUUUGAAAUCACGCUUCACGUAAAUAACUCGAUUAAGCAGGAAACUUUGUGGCAAACAGACCGCCAAUUUGCCAAAAGAUUAGUUAAUGCUGCGUUUGCUAACAAAGUGCAGAAGAUCCCUCAAUCUGAGUCGAGAGUGUUGCGCAAAUCUUCUCGAUUUAAAGAGGAGAGGUUUUGGACAAGCUCACUUUGAAGAUGGUAGGCCACCCUUAUGCUCUUGCACUCUUGCAAAAGAUUUUCACACACGUUGCGUUCAAAAUUGCUACAUUGGUUGGACUAACGGCAUAUUUCCUUAGUUAAUGAUUAAUAUGAUGCUUUGUUAAUUAAGAUGAUAUAUUUUCAUUAUGCUGACUGCUAAUUUAAUGUUUUAAAAUGGUAAUAAUAAUUAUUUUUAAAUAAUUAUUAACUCCGCGAUAAACUCCGCAAUGUGUUCUCUUAUUGAUUAUAAAAAUUAUUAUUACUUUGUUUUCAAUACAACUUAGCCCACACCAUAUACUCAAAACGUCAAGCUUUGUGGCACUCCUUCUUAAAAACUGCAACAGCAACUAACGUUUAUUAUGAAUCAUAUUAAUGACUUCGCUGGUGAUGAAGUCAUUUCACAUCUAAAAGAACGACUUUAUCGCUUUUAUAUUACAAGAGAAUUGCAUCAUCAUAUCAUCUGUCAGCAGUCGUGAUCGACACAUGACAAAACACCGGCUCGUGCUGUCGUUGUGCCUUAGAACCACACUACAACUCUUCACAUUGCCCGAGCGCGUUAUAAUAAUAAUGAAACAGUUGCAUUGAUAGUUGAUAAAACAGGAAAUCUUCACUAGCAAACGGAAAAGAUGUGCUUGAGAACAUAAGUUCUCAGAGAUCAGAGAACAUCAUCAAAGAGUGAUGUGAGAAUUAACUUCACAAACGCGAACUAUGAUUGUUUUUUAUUCAGGAGGAACGGUCUAAAAAGUCCGUAUUGCUUGAACUAUGAUUGCAAAGCGGAAUAAUUUCGUGCAAUUGUGAUCAGGUACUGUACCCUUCAAAAUGUUAGAAUGUGAAUGUGUAGCAUGUUUUCAUUGGCAUUUACUUUACCAACUUUCCAUGCAAUACAACAUAAAUAUGUAUUACA
This is a long non-coding RNA of Anopheles arabiensis, 1380 nucleotides long. RefSeq lists it as uncharacterized. Lineage: Eukaryota; Metazoa; Arthropoda; Insecta; Diptera; Culicidae. The record is from RefSeq and is a predicted model, not a curated record. The transcript is spliced from 4 exons.